GACAUGUCAGCAUCGUGCCAUGUGGCAAUCCUUGAGAAAGAAUUACAAGAUUACAAGUCCCGCACAAAUGCGGGGGUGUCCGUCAAAGCCUCGUGCCAUGGACUAUACAAAUUGUCAGUUAAUUUCGCCGAACAAACUGAAUGUCGGUCCAGCCACCUGCCACCUAGAUCUCUCCGCAUCCAGUCACCCGACAUCUGUAGAGACAGAUUAGCCAUUGCAAUCAGUCCAGCAUGCGAAACUCAGUCCAUCAACUAGACCUAAUUUUCAACAUCACGGUCACUAGCAUCACCUCAUCCUCCCAAUUGAUGUCGGGGAUCAGCCCAGGUGUCGAAUCCAGGAUCUUUAUUUUUUAACUGCUAAACGCAGUGAUGACUAUAUGUGAGUAUGGUGUUUCGGAGCAGCGGGACAUCAUCCUGCAUCAGCCGUGCAACGAGUGACAGGCCUAAGGUGGGUUAAGAAGUUAAGGAUAAAGCAUUCGUGCUCUGUUUGCCUCCAGAGCCCAGCAACAUAAACGAAACUGCAUUAGCUUACGAUGUGCUAAACGAGGAAUGAAAACCUUAGCAUGUGUUGGCCACAUGACGGGCAAAAGAAAAGGGCAGCCCCAUCCAGUGCUUAUACUUCGCCAUUUGCACUCCCGGUUGGCUCCCAUCUGAUGGGUACUCCUCUGGCAAGACAGUCAGACGCGUAUGGUCCCAGCCGCUCAUCAAACGCUCUCUUAGCGCCGUUAUCAUCGCUCCUUCGGGUAGAGGCCUACUCAACAACUAGUCAACACGCGCCUUUACCCCCAGGACUUCUUGCGGUAUUCCGCUCCAAAUAUUGCACUCCAAGAAGGAAAACAGUCGUAACAUUGAGGUUCCCCAACCCUCCCAUUCCGGGUUGGUCAGGGCAUCGGUUAUCUCCUGCCGUAAAACUGCAUGAGCAAUGGACCCCACUUGCUUUUGAAGGCGGUUCCAGAAACGGAGGAUCUGUUUUACCAUGUAAUACUGUAAGGGGAGUUCAGCCAGCUCCGCAUACAACAGCCUGUGGGAGGGCAGUAUGGGCAGCGAAAUGGCUGAGGCCUACUACCCAGCUGAUAACGAGGAGGUCGAUAGCGUGGCAAGUGAUGAGGUGUACGCGUCGGAGGAGACGGACGAUGAGGAGGUGGCAGGUGUGGAAUAGGCGGUUGCGGCAGAGGUGGAUGAGGAGCGGCGCCUCCUUAGCUUUUGGGUAACAUCCUUGCCUCAACGAUUGCCCCUAGGCCCCGUGAUCCCAAAUAAAAUCAAACACAGGUAAAAUCAGCCAAUCUUUUUGCGAUAGAAUCCAGAUUAAAUUUACCCGGAAACUGCUUGGGACAGUUUUCGGGGUGCCCGAAAAAAUGUCAGUCUGCCAACGAGGCUUUAGGGAGGACCCCGAUAGGUUAUUCAGAGGGCUUCGUUCACAACCAUUUUUUGGAUAACCUGGUGAAGAACCCUGACUAGGAUGUUGGCCGCUCGAUCCCAGCAAGCAAAAGAAGAUACCGGAAGAGGAAACAACGCGACGCAAUAGCUCUGUGAAGGAUCACACGUUUCUGCAUCCAAACAUAGUCAAAAGCUGCUAACAGUUAGCAACACGCAAGCCCAGGCCCAUGGGCAGCUGGCGGACCUGUACAGUACUGUGGCAAAAGCGGAGCUGUACUAUUUCUUUGACUCUCCAGUUGAAAUGCCAGUCAACGCCUUUACAUCCAGCUGACGCUUAUGGGCAUUGCGGUGGAGAUUGACAAGUAGGGUGUCGGCUUCCUUGAAGCCUGAAAAAGGGCGGGGCCCCUCUGAAUCCGUAGAGGCUGGUCGAUUAGCCGCAUAAACAGCAAUUGCUGCUGGGGGGUUUCAACCCUCCCCACACCCUGCAACG
This 1866-nucleotide long non-coding RNA is filed under the name Volvox carteri. RNAcentral describes it as "long non-coding RNA (VCAR_LNC000976)". Lineage: Eukaryota; Viridiplantae; Chlorophyta; Chlorophyceae; Chlamydomonadales; Volvocaceae. The record is from RNAcentral.